GUAGUCUCGCACAGAUGCAUAUCAAUAAGCGGAGGAAAAGAAACUAACAAGGAUUCCCCUAGUAACAGCGAGUGAAGCGGGAAGAGCUCAAAUUUGAAAUCUUAAAGGGUUUCCCUUUACGAAUUGUAGUUUAAAGAAGUGUUUUCUGUUGAGGUUUUGGUAAAAGUUCUUUGGAAUAGGACAUCAUAGAGGGUGAGAAUCCCGUAUUUGACCUUUACUUUCAACUUUGUGAUACACUUUCAAAGAGUCGGAUUGUUUGGGAAUGCAGUCCAAAAUGGGUGGUAAACUUCAUCUAAAGCUAAAUAUUGGCGAGAGACCGAUAGCGAACAAGUACCGUGAGGGAAAGAUGAAAAGAACUUUGAAAAGAGAGUUAAACAGUACGUGAAAUUGUCAAAAGGGAAGCGUUUGACACCAGUGUUGUUUUUCUGAAAAUCAAUUAAAGAACUGUUUAUGCUAAGCUGUUUAGACUUUAUCAGCUAAUCUGUUUAGUUUUGAGCUUUUCUUUAACGCACUUUUCAGUUAACAAGUCAACAUCAAUUUCUUUUGCUGUAAAAAAGCUUGAGGAAGGUGGCUUGAGAUUCGUCUUAAGUGUUUAUAGCCUCUUGCCUAUGCAGUCGGAGAGAUUGAGGUCUGCAGCGUAGAUCCUUCGGGGCUAAAUGCAUUUGUGCUAAGUUAUAGCAUUUUAUAGACAACUUGUUGACUAUGAUUUGUCUUGUAGCUUACUCGCUUAUGUUAUUUUACCUACGCUUAGGAUGUUGAAGACUCUACAGAGAUA
This 775-nucleotide ribosomal RNA is filed under the name uncultured Neocallimastigales. RNAcentral's name for it is "partial large subunit ribosomal RNA". It matches the Rfam family "Eukaryotic large subunit ribosomal RNA", at positions 24 to 633 of the family's 3401-position model. Lineage: Eukaryota; Fungi; Neocallimastigomycota; Neocallimastigomycetes; Neocallimastigales. The record is from RNAcentral.